GUCUCGGUAGUGUAAGGGAUAGAGCACGGGGCCCGGAAAGCACAAGUACGGGUUCCAGCCCCGUCCGAGACU
RNAcentral lists this transfer RNA (72 nucleotides) under Haemonchus placei. It matches the Rfam family "tRNA". Rfam says of the family: Transfer RNA (tRNA) molecules are approximately 80 nucleotides in length. Their secondary structure includes four short double-helical elements and three loops (D, anti-codon, and T loops). Further hydrogen bonds mediate the characteristic L-shaped molecular structure. tRNAs have two regions of fundamental functional importance: the anti-codon, which is responsible for specific mRNA codon recognition, and the 3' end, to which the tRNAs corresponding amino acid is attached (by aminoacyl-tRNA synthetases). tRNAs cope with the degeneracy of the genetic code in two manners: having more than one tRNA (with a specific anti-codon) for a particular amino acid; and 'wobble' base-pairing, i.e. permitting non-standard base-pairing at the 3rd anti-codon position. Lineage: Eukaryota; Metazoa; Nematoda; Chromadorea; Rhabditida; Trichostrongylidae. The record is from Rfam by way of RNAcentral.